Molecule: ribosomal RNA, 465 nt
Filed under: uncultured bacterium
Lineage: Bacteria
Description: partial 16S ribosomal RNA
Rfam family: Bacterial small subunit ribosomal RNA
Source: RNAcentral
GACGAACGCUGGCGGCGUGCUUAACACAUGCAAGUCGAACGGAAAGGCCCCUUUGGGGUUACUCGAGUGGCGAACGGGUGAGUAACACGUGCGUAACCUGCCCUUGACUUCGGGAUAACUUCAGGAAACUGGGGCUAAUACCGGAUAGGAAUCCUUGCUGCAUGGUGGGGGUUGGAAAGCUUCGGCGGUUUUGGAUGGACUCGCGGCUUAUCAGCUUGUUGGUGGGGUAGUGGCUUACCAAGGCUUUGACGGGUAGCCGGCCUGAGAGGGCGACCGGCCACAUUGGGACUGAGAUACGGCCCAGACUCCUACGGGGGGCAGCAGUGGGGAAUAUUGCACAAUGGGCGGAAGCCUGAUGCAGCAACGCCGCGGGCGGGAUGACGGCCUUCGGGUUGUAAACCGCUUUCAGCAGGGGCGAAGCUUGUGGUGACGGUACCUGCAGAAGAAGCACCGGCUAACUACGUG